GAGAAGACAGUGAUAAAAAAGAACAGAGAGAGACAGAUAGGAGGAGAUAGAGCAAAAUUGGGGAAAACACAGAUCUGAAGAAAAAAAGCCACACCUCCGUUUUUCUAUUUCAUCUUUUUCCUAAAAUCCUUCAUUAAACCACCCUCAAACACCCCAAAGAGCCCAUUUUUUUGCCAUGAAAGUGCAACCAUGAAACCUUCAUUAAGCCACUCUUAAACUCCAUCAAACAACUCCAAAAUCACUCCAAAACACCAUUGUUUACAGCUGAAAAAUGCAACAAAAUGACCAUUGAAGGAAGCUCCAAAAGCUCACCAAAAGUCAGCAAUAAAGCCACCACAAACACCUCCCAAACCCAGCUCGAAAAUAGCCCCCAAAAGCCUCAAAUUUCAGCCAAAAACUGACCCCAAAAGCACAACAAAGGUAGUUUCAAUUUUCUCCAUUAAUCACGUUGAAGCUCUGUCACCCGAGGUCGCCGGCGAGUUUACCAUGCCUGGUUUGGUUUGUUCGAAUUCUCUCAUUGAGUUUACAUGUUUGUAUUCAAUAAAUCGUCAUGUAUAUAAAAGUUAUUAGGCGGCAAAAAAAAUCCAAAGUGGGAGAUAUAGUUGGGAGCAAAACGGAGUGGCUUCACUGUUCAAGGUAAUAUGAACACCUCACUGUUCUUUGGCUUUUCAGAUGUGCUGUAUACAUAGAUAUUUGUUCAAUAAGCAAUUUGUCCAUGGAUUUAAUGUUUUACUUUGUAUCUUUCUUUGUGUUUUCGUGGAUUGUUAAUUCUGGUAGGUGGGGUCUGCGUCCAUUGAUUUAAUGUUUUACUUUGUAUCUUUCUUUGUAGCUUGCUUUAGACGCGAUUAAUAAAUUAUCGUGGUCAUGGGUACGGUUCUCAUGGCAUGGUCACGAUCCAUAAAUCUAAAUUCAGGUAUGCAUUUCAUAUGAUCCGACCAUAACUUCGAAUAUUAAUAAUAAAAUAAAUAUGUUGUAAAUCGCGGGUGUAUUUCAUGUGACGCGGUUUGCAAUGUGUACGACAAUCAUGAUUUGUUCCAUAAACACUAAAAGCGAUUUGGAAGUUAAAAACGCACGUAGGUUUAAAAUGUGUAAUUAAUCAGAUAAUUAGGCCAAUUAUUAAUAGUUAAGCGACCGUACUAAAAUCACGAAAUUCGGGAAUGUCUAACACCUUCUUCCGGGUUAACAGAAUCCUUACCCGGAUCUCUGUGUUCGUAGACCAUAAAUAGAUUCAAUCUUCCUUGAUUGGGGAUUUUAAAUCGGUGACUUAGGACACCAUAAAUUAUCCCAAGUGACGACUCUGAAUUUUAAAUAAAAUAAUCUCGUUUCGAUUGUCACUUAAAUUGGACAAAACUCCCUUAUACCCCUCCGGGGAUAGUAAAAAAGAGGUAUGACAAAGUAUUUUUUUUAAAGUUAAGGUGUUUGGCCAAGCUCUUAUAAGGAAAAAAAGUGCUUUUGAGCAGAAGCAGUUUUUUAGAAGAGAAAAAAGUAGCCAAAAGUACUUUUGAGAAAAAUACACUUAAAAGCACUUUUUAAAAGCUUGGCCAAAAUAUAUUAUUGUUCAAAAGUGUUUUUCAAAUUAAUUAUCCAAACACAAACUGCUUCUCACCAAAAGUACUUUUUUUAAAACGCACUUUUCAAAAUAAGUUGAUUUUAGAAGCUUGGCCAAAUAGGCUAUAGGAGAUCCAUCUUAUAAUAACAGGGUUUAUGCAUUUGAUGCCAUUUUUUAACCAUGCAAUAAUCUUUUGUUAUUUUCUCUUAUUUGUUUCCAGGGACAGACCAACGUGGGGCCAAGUGGGUCAUCUGAACCUGUUGUUUACCCGUAAAACAGUAUGGCUAAAUUUUAUAAUAUGGUUUAUAGACAAGCGAAUCAAUUUAAUCCCAAAAUAAUAAAUAAAUUAAAUAAAAUGCAAGACUUAGCGUUGAAAUUGAGAUAAGACAACAAACAGCUUGGUUCCCGGAUCAAGGCUUCUGUAGACAACAAUAAGAAUAUUAAUAGACAGAAAAUAAAGUAUUAUUGAGCUUAGAAUAAUAUGUAGCAUAAGUUUGUCAGAAAUUUCGUGUCUUACAAUGGCUGUUGAACUCACUAUUUAUAGCUAUACCUAGGGAACAAGGUCCUAUGAUCAAGCCCCUCUUAAAUGACAAUUAUGGGGGCCAUUGAUGAAGGUGUAAUGGCAGGCUAUGAAUGACAAGAUUCUUUGUAACGGAUUGUGUAUUUAAUAUUGAGAAAUAUUCUUCACUGAAUGUCAUCGGGUGACAAAUAUUCAUUUGUCCUCAUUAGCAAUAUUCCUUUCGGAGUCUACCCAGUGUCAACCGAAGCUACUGUCCAUGGUCUUGGUUUCCACUUGCCUCGUUUUUUGUCUGUCUCUGGCUCCACGUGUCGCCCUAUUAUUCGAGUAUUUAAUAUGAACCAAUUUUACCCUAAACAGAUAGUCCCCCUACUUUCCGGUGGCACAUCUUUGUGUCAUUGGGAAGUUGGUGAAGAUACCUCUCUUGGCGGGAAAUUUUUUGAUCCCUUUUGAAAAGUUUCUGACACUCGAUUAGAUGCACGUCUCUCCGCAUUUGAUGCCCCGAACACUCGUCACUCCACGAUUUUGCAAUAUUUUAACUGGUCUCUAGUUAAUCAUGG
Molecule: long non-coding RNA, 2626 nt
Filed under: Nicotiana tabacum (common tobacco)
Lineage: Eukaryota; Viridiplantae; Streptophyta; Magnoliopsida; Solanales; Solanaceae
Description: long non-coding RNA (NTAB_LNC003357)
Source: RNAcentral